This 225-nucleotide long non-coding RNA is filed under the name Physcomitrium patens. RNAcentral's name for it is "long non-coding RNA (PPAT_LNC002411)". The record is from RNAcentral. Lineage: Eukaryota; Viridiplantae; Streptophyta; Bryopsida; Funariales; Funariaceae.
UGUGUUUUGUUUUUUCUAUGUUCUUACGUCGGGGACUGGUGUGUCUGCUCUUGUUCAGCGUCUCAUGUUACGCUACCUAUUUGCUGCAACGUUUCUGUUCUGUCGCCCUAGUUUCUAUUUUUUGUUUUAUUGUUUUUUUUUUUGGAUUUUCGAGCCUCGCCGAUCGCAACCACGCUGAUCUCAGCUGGUUUGCGAACCCUUGCCCAAUGAGGGCAGAUCGUUGAC